UAGCAAGUCUGAUGACAAACCUCAGAAGGGCAUGUUGGCUUUCUGUUAACUGAUUGCUUGCAGAGGAUCUGAGGGACAUUCCUGCUGGGCUCCUGGCUCGGGUCCACCCUGGCUGCAUUUUCCCUUCUGGACACUUCUGGCCCUGGAAGCACAUACAGCGUCACCAUGGUGACUCUGGGACAGACGCUUGCUGUGAAAAGAGCAGGGGAUAAAGUCCCUCCUCUGAAGCUUUCUUAGGAGGGACGGAGGCCUUUGAAAGCUUUCAGAAUCACCCCGUUUCAUCUCCGGGCUUUGACACAGAGGCAGCCUCCUCAGUCGUCAACAUAGAAUCCGUCCCCUUUACUUUUGCUUUGCUGGUGAAAGUGAAUGAAAGCAGUCGAAGAUCUGAAGAAGACUCUCCAGGAUGACCAGCCUCACACCCCAAAGCCCCUCCUUAGGAUGGUUAGCCGGUCGACAGGUGGGAGGCGGCACUGAUGGUGAUCAGGGCUCUCCACCCUGGACUGUUAAGCUCCCUGUUCUCGCACCGAGACUUCUCACUUCUCUCUGAAUCCAGAUGAAAAAAAUGAUCAGCCCGGGAGAGAAUGGAGAAGGAUGGCUUCUUGGAGGAGCAGAGUCUUCAUGGAAGUAAGGACUGCGGACCGGCAGAGAGGAGGCUGAAGGCACUACCACAGGCUCAAAUUUGGGUCUGGUUAUGGGAAGAAGUAUUUGCUAACCAUAUAUCUGAUGAGGGGUUGCUAUCCAAAAUAUACAGGGAACUCAUACAGCUCAAUAACAAAAAAUAAACAAUGCAAUUUAAAAAUGGGCAAAAGACCGGAAUAGACAUUUUUCCAAAGAAGAUACAUGAAUGGCCAACAGGUACAUGAAAAGAUGCUCAACAUCAUUAAUCAUUAGGGAAAGGCAAAUCACAGCCAUAAUGAGAUACCACCUCAUACCUCUCAGAAUGACUGUCAUCAAAAAGACAAGAGAUUGGGACCACCCCGUGGCUGAGUGGUUAAAGUUCAGCGUACUCCGCUUCAGCAGCCUGGGUUCGAGGGUUUGGAUCCCAGGUGCAGAUCGACUUCACUCGUCAGCCGUGCUGUGGAGGCAUCCCACAUGCAAAGCGGAGGAAGAUUGGCACAGAUGUUAGCUCAGGGCUGAUCUUCCUCAAGCAAAAAAGAAAAAAAGCGGAAGACUGGUAACGGAUAUUAGCUCAAGGUGAAUCUUCCUCACCCAAAAAAAAAAAAAAAAAAAGACAAGAGACAAAUGCUGGUAAAAAAGUGGAGAAAAGGGAACCCUUGUGCGCUCUCUUGGUGGAAUGUAAAUUGGUGCAGCCAUUAUGGAAACAGUAUGGAGGUUCUUCAAAAAAUUAAAAGUAGAACUACCAUAUCAUCCAGCAAUUCCACUUCUGGGAGUAUAUCUGAAGAAAACUAAAACACUCUGUUGAAGAGAUCUCUGCACCCCUUGUUCACAGCAGCAUUAUUUACAAUAGCCAAGACGUGGAAGCAACCUAAGUGUCCAUUGAUGGAUGAAUGGAUAAAGAAGUUGUGAUAUGUAUAUACAUAUAAUGUAAUAUUAUUCGAUUAUUCAGCCGUGAAAAAUGAGGAAGUCCUGCCACUUGCGACAGCAUGGAUGGACCUUGAGGGCAUUACGCUAAGUGAAAUAAAUCAGACAGAGAAAGACAAAAACUCUAUGAUGUCACUUAUAUGUGGAAUCUAAAACAACAACAAAAACAAGCAAACUAUAGGAAAAGAAAUCAGAUUUGUGGUUACCAGAGGUGGGGGUGGUGGGAGGGGGAAUUGGUUGAGGUGUCAAAAGGCACAAACUUCGAGUUAUAGGACAAAUGAGUACUCAGAAUGUAAUGUACAACAUGAUGACUACAGUUACACCGAUGUAUAAUAUACAGGAAAGUUGUUAAGAGAGCAAAUCCUAAGAGUUCUCAUCAUGAGGAAAAAAUAAUACAUAUAUUUUUUCUAUCUGUAUGAGACGAUGGAUGUUAGGUAAACUUAUUGUGGUAAUCAUUGCAUGGUAUAUGUAAGUCAGAUCAUUAUGUUGUACAACAUAAACUUAUGCUGUAUGUCCAUUAUAUCUCAAUAAAACUGGGAAAAAAAGUUGGGCCUGGUUAAGAUGUGUGUGAG
This 2114-nucleotide long non-coding RNA is filed under the name Equus caballus (horse). RNAcentral describes it as "lncRNA (ENSECAG00000044941.1)". The record is from RNAcentral. Lineage: Eukaryota; Metazoa; Chordata; Mammalia; Perissodactyla; Equidae.